UGGCAGUUAGCCACAAGUGGUGCCCAAACAGGGAUGAAUAGGGACAGACAGGGACAGAUAGGGAUAAAGACUAGCAAAGACUAGCAAUAUAAGGUCAGUGCCCUAAAGAGGUACAAAAGUAGAGACUAGCAGAGACUAGCAAAUACUAGCAGAAACUUGAAGGGACUAUCAGGGACAGAGACCUGAAGGGACCUGAAGAGGCCUGCAGGGACAAUAAGAAAUAAGUAGAGAUAAGUAGAGAUAAAUAGAGAUAAGGAAGUACAGAUAGGUAGGAGCAGACAGGGACUUGCAGGAACUAACAGGUACCAUGGGGACAGAUCAAGAAAACCAUACAGGAAGCUGAGAAACUGCUGGAGCACCGGGGUUUCACCUUUUGCUGGAACUCAGAGGUACAAUCGAUGCUUAACAGACCGAUGAUUUUUGACUGAGCUCCUCUCUACGCUGAAUACAAGAGACCCUAAUAGUUAGGCAGGAAUAUCAUCGCCCCUAUUCAGCAUGAAGAAGUUGCAGGAGACAGACCUUCAUCCUUCUGCAGCCCUUAGGAUUAAGGGUCCUCUUGCAAAAGGGAAGGGGGAAAUAUGUAAGAAGCAUUCAAACCAGAGUGACUCCAUUUUGAAUAAGGGCUAAGAAAAAUGAAGCUGGAUAACCAACUGGCAAUUAAGGGGUGCACAGCCUGCAAUUGCCUUGCUCAAUUAAUUUAAAAACAAAAAGGAGAUGUUGGAGGCCACACAAAUGUUUCUUGUGAUUAGGUACAUCUGAAGCCUGUCAAUAAUGAACCUGUGAUCAUUUAAGCAGCUGACCAAUCGUUACCUCCUCCUCCUUGCUCUUAUUACCCAAUAAAUCCAAAGGGCUGUGGAAGCUCAAGGUGGGCUGCCUUUACUCACUAGAAGCAGGGAGCUCUCUUAUUCUUCCCCAUGCUAGCCUUUCCUUAAAACAG
This 937-nucleotide long non-coding RNA is filed under the name Homo sapiens (human). RNAcentral's name for it is "HSALNT0373612". The record is from RNAcentral. Lineage: Eukaryota; Metazoa; Chordata; Mammalia; Primates; Hominidae.